Non-coding RNA from Salmo salar (Atlantic salmon), 1303 nucleotides. The record is from RefSeq and is a predicted model, not a curated record. Lineage: Eukaryota; Metazoa; Chordata; Actinopteri; Salmoniformes; Salmonidae.
UUACAGAUGUCUUCGCUACAUCUCAGAGUGAGAGUAGCUUGAUUUACCACGACAAUACAGAUGUCCUACCAACAUCUCAGAACAAUGGAAACCGUAGUGAAGAAUUCCCCAAAGUCAAGACUGACAGACUCUAAGGCCCAUCACAAAGACAACCUCCCUACCUAUCUGUACAUUCAGGGCUAUGAUGCAGAUGAUGUCUUCCCCACAACAGAGACGGGGAACAGUUACUCUGACGUCGUCAAAACCCUGGCACAGGCCGACAGAUAUGAUGACCCCAAUGACUUUCAAGUCACUGUUUCUAACUCAGGACUAGACGAUGGCAAAGACGUUGAUGAUCAAGGCUCCACUGCCUCCAAUAUGAACCAAACUGAGUACUAAACUAACUUCAUGCUCUUAGGCAAAGAUAAAGAAGGUCAAUCAAUUUACACACAUUUGUUAAAAAAAAAAAAAAAAAUGGGGGCCAAAUGUUGACUGUUUGCAUAUUGCUGAUCCUUGUGUCUUUUUUUUCUUCAUCAGUUAUUGUUUAUAAUACACAGAGCCUACUAGAGCUGCUGCACGAUCCACCACAUCUAACAUGGGAAGCAUGACUGUAAAUGCUGCUUUGACUAGGAAUAAGGUGAGGUAUUGUAAAACAUUUAGCUGCAUUGUCAUAAAAUGCCACAUGCAUAAGAAGUCCGUGGAGGAUGUGUUUGAGGAGGGCAUGGACUUCUGUGAGCUCAAGAAAUCCUCGAGCCAGGUCACCUGGAAUACAUACAGUGCCUUCAGAAAGUAUUCAGAUCCCUUGCCUUUUUCCACAUUUUGUUACAUUAAAACAUUUUCCUCAGCAAUCUACACACAAUGGUGGUGUGGAGUGCUGGAAGCUCCAGAGACUGCAGACAGAGUACGAAGUGCUCUCCCUUUAACUCGUACCAAUGCCACCAGGAGUGCUGUGAGACCUGGUCUAUCUCCUGUCUCAGACUUGACGGUUCUCUCAACAUGCCUGUCUACUCUGCCUGCUUUGGCCUGGAGAGUCUCUCCCUCCUGGCCUUGAGUGUAACUCUACUGGGCAGUCUACUUGUUAAUCUACUAACCUUCCUGUUACAUUAGAAUCACUUUCCAAUACAGAUGGUUUAGUAUAGAUUGACUUUACAACUAAAUGCAUGUUUCAGGUUUGUCAGAUCCACUGCUUGAUUGUCAUUAGUGCUUUCUAGUUUUCUUGAUCUGUGAAUAUUAUGUAUUGCGAAAAUAAACAUGUUUUUCCCAGCUUUAUGGGGGAAGGGGGGCUCAUGGGUUUGAGUGGGCUGUUCUUCUGUGGGGGUUACUG